GACGAACGCUGGCGGCGUGCUUAACACAUGCAAGUCGAACGAAGAGCGAUGGAAGCUUGCUUCUAUCAAUCUUAGUGGCGAACGGGUGAGUAACGCGUAAUCAACCUGCCCUUCAGAGGGGGACAACAGUUGGAAACGACUGCUAAUACCGCAUACGAUCUAAUCUCGGCAUCGAGGAUAGAUGAAAGGUGGCCUCUACAUGUAAGCUAUCACUGAAGGAGGGGAUUGCGUCUGAUUAGCUAGUUGGAGGGGUAACGGCCCACCAAGGCGAUGAUCAGUAGCCGGUCUGAGAGGAUGAACGGCCACAUUGGGACUGAGACACGGCCCAGACUCCUACGGGAGGCAGUAGUGGGGAAUCUUCCGCAAUGGACGAAAGUCUGACGGAGCAACGCCGCGUGAGUGAUGACGGCCUUCGGGUUGUAAAGCUCUGUUAAUCGGGACGAAAGGCCUUCUUGCGAAUAGUGAGAAGGAUUGACGGUACCGGAAUAGAAAGCCACGGCUAACUACGUG
This 510-nucleotide ribosomal RNA is filed under the name uncultured bacterium. Its description in RNAcentral is "partial 16S ribosomal RNA". It matches the Rfam family "Bacterial small subunit ribosomal RNA", at positions 28 to 507 of the family's 1533-position model. The record is from RNAcentral.